UGAUAAUUAGUUUAAUUAAAAUAAAUGAUUUCGGCUCAUUAGAUUAUGGUUCAGUUCAUAAUUAUCAU
RNAcentral lists this transfer RNA (68 nucleotides) under Murina shuipuensis. RNAcentral's name for it is "tRNA-Arg". It matches the Rfam family "tRNA". From Rfam's summary of the family: Transfer RNA (tRNA) molecules are approximately 80 nucleotides in length. Their secondary structure includes four short double-helical elements and three loops (D, anti-codon, and T loops). The record is from RNAcentral. Lineage: Eukaryota; Metazoa; Chordata; Mammalia; Chiroptera; Vespertilionidae.